GACGGAGGAUGCAAGCGUUAUCCGGAAUGAUUGGGCGUAAAGCGUCCGCAGGUGGCAGUUCAAGUCUGCUGUCAAAGACCGGGGCUUAACUUCGGAAAGGCAGUGGAAACUGAACAGCUAGAGUAUGGUAGGGGCAGAGGGAAUUCCUGGUGUAGCGGUGAAAUGCGUAGAGAUCGGGAAGAACAUCGGUGGCGAAAGCGCUCUGCUGGACUGCAACUGACACUCAGGGACGAAAGCUAGGGGAGCGAAUGGG
This 253-nucleotide ribosomal RNA is filed under the name uncultured bacterium. RNAcentral's name for it is "partial 16S ribosomal RNA". It matches the Rfam family "Bacterial small subunit ribosomal RNA", at positions 524 to 776 of the family's 1533-position model. The record is from RNAcentral.